RNAcentral lists this ribosomal RNA (2896 nucleotides) under Klebsiella pneumoniae BIDMC 7A. RNAcentral describes it as "bacterial LSU rRNA". It matches the Rfam family "Bacterial large subunit ribosomal RNA". Lineage: Bacteria; Pseudomonadati; Pseudomonadota; Gammaproteobacteria; Enterobacterales; Enterobacteriaceae. The record is from RNAcentral.
GCGACUAAGCGUACACGGUGGAUGCCCUGGCAGUCAGAGGCGAUGAAGGACGUGCUAAUCUGCGAAAAGCGUCGGUAAGGUGAUAUGAACCGUUAUAACCGGCGAUGUCCGAAUGGGGAAACCCAGUGUGAUUCGUCACACUAUCGUUAACUGAAUACAUAGGUUAACGAGGCGAACCGGGGGAACUGAAACAUCUAAGUACCCCGAGGAAAAGAAAUCAACCGAGAUUCCCCCAGUAGCGGCGAGCGAACGGGGAGCAGCCCAGAGUCUGAAUCAGCUUGUGUGUUAGUGGAACGGUCUGGAAAGUCCGACGGUACAGGGUGAUAGUCCCGUACACCAAAAUGCACAGGCUGUGAACUCGAAGAGUAGGGCGGGACACGUGGUAUCCUGUCUGAAUAUGGGGGGACCAUCCUCCAAGGCUAAAUACUCCUGACUGACCGAUAGUGAACCAGUACCGUGAGGGAAAGGCGAAAAGAACCCCGGCGAGGGGAGUGAAAAAGAACCUGAAACCGUGUACGUACAAGCAGUGGGAGCACCUUCGGGUGUGACUGCGUACCUUUUGUAUAAUGGGUCAGCGACUUAUAUUCUGUAGCAAGGUUAACCGUAUAGGGGAGCCGCAGGGAAACCGAGUCUUAACUGGGCGUUAAGUUGCAGGGUAUAGACCCGAAACCCGGUGAUCUAGCCAUGGGCAGGUUGAAGGUUGGGUAACACUAACUGGAGGACCGAACCGACUAAUGUUGAAAAAUUAGCGGAUGACUUGUGGCUGGGGGUGAAAGGCCAAUCAAACCGGGAGAUAGCUGGUUCUCCCCGAAAGCUAUUUAGGUAGCGCCUCGUGAACUCAUCUUCGGGGGUAGAGCACUGUUUCGGCUAGGGGGUCAUCCCGACUUACCAACCCGAUGCAAACUACGAAUACCGAAGAAUGUUAUCACGGGAGACACACGGCGGGUGCUAACGUCCGUCGUGAAGAGGGAAACAACCCAGACCGCCAGCUAAGGUCCCAAAGUCAUGGUUAAGUGGGAAACGAUGUGGGAAGGCACAGACAGCCAGGAUGUUGGCUUAGAAGCAGCCAUCAUUUAAAGAAAGCGUAAUAGCUCACUGGUCGAGUCGGCCUGCGCGGAAGAUGUAACGGGGCUAAACCAUGCACCGAAGCUGCGGCAGCGACACUAUGUGUUGUUGGGUAGGGGAGCGUUCUGUAAGCCUGCGAAGGUGACCUGUGAGGGUUGCUGGAGGUAUCAGAAGUGCGAAUGCUGACAUAAGUAACGAUAAAGCGGGUGAAAAGCCCGCUCGCCGGAAGACCAAGGGUUCCUGUCCAACGUUAAUCGGGGCAGGGUGAGUCGACCCCUAAGGCGAGGCCGAAAGGCGUAGUCGAUGGGAAACAGGUUAAUAUUCCUGUACUUGGUGUUACUGCGAAGGGGGGACGGAGAAGGCUAUGUUAGCCGGGCGACGGUUGUCCCGGUUUAAGCAUGUAGGCUGGUUAUCCAGGCAAAUCCGGAUAAUCAAGGCUGAGGUGUGAUGACGAGGCACUACGGUGCUGAAGUAACAAAUGCCCUGCUUCCAGGAAAAGCCUCUAAGCAUCAGGUAACAUCAAAUCGUACCCCAAACCGACACAGGUGGUCAGGUAGAGAAUACCAAGGCGCUUGAGAGAACUCGGGUGAAGGAACUAGGCAAAAUGGUGCCGUAACUUCGGGAGAAGGCACGCUGGUGUGUAGGUGAAGCCCCUGCGGGUGGAGCUGAGACCAGUCGAAGAUACCAGCUGGCUGCAACUGUUUAUUAAAAACACAGCACUGUGCAAACACGAAAGUGGACGUAUACGGUGUGACGCCUGCCCGGUGCCGGAAGGUUAAUUGAUGGGGUUAUCCGUAAGGAGAAGCUCUUGAUCGAAGCCCCGGUAAACGGCGGCCGUAACUAUAACGGUCCUAAGGUAGCGAAAUUCCUUGUCGGGUAAGUUCCGACCUGCACGAAUGGCGUAAUGAUGGCCAGGCUGUCUCCACCCGAGACUCAGUGAAAUUGAACUCGCUGUGAAGAUGCAGUGUACCCGCGGCAAGACGGAAAGACCCCGUGAACCUUUACUAUAGCUUGACACUGAACAUUGAGCCUUGAUGUGUAGGAUAGGUGGGAGGCUUUGAAGCGUGGACGCCAGUCUGCGUGGAGCCAACCUUGAAAUACCACCCUUUAAUGUUUGAUGUUCUAACGUUGGCCCCUUACCGGGGUUGCGGACAGUGUCUGGUGGGUAGUUUGACUGGGGCGGUCUCCUCCCAAAGCGUAACGGAGGAGCACGAAGGUUAGCUAAUCCUGGUCGGACAUCAGGAGGUUAGUGCAAUGGCAUAAGCUAGCUUGACUGCGAGCGUGACGGCGCGAGCAGGUGCGAAAGCAGGUCAUAGUGAUCCGGUGGUUCUGAAUGGAAGGGCCAUCGCUCAACGGAUAAAAGGUACUCCGGGGAUAACAGGCUGAUACCGCCCAAGAGUUCAUAUCGACGGCGGUGUUUGGCACCUCGAUGUCGGCUCAUCACAUCCUGGGGCUGAAGUAGGUCCCAAGGGUAUGGCUGUUCGCCAUUUAAAGUGGUACGCGAGCUGGGUUUAGAACGUCGUGAGACAGUUCGGUCCCUAUCUGCCGUGGGCGCUGGAGAAUUGAGGGGGGCUGCUCCUAGUACGAGAGGACCGGAGUGGACGCAUCACUGGUGUUCGGGUUGUCAUGCCAAUGGCACUGCCCGGUAGCUAAAUGCGGAAGAGAUAAGUGCUGAAAGCAUCUAAGCACGAAACUUGCCCCGAGAUGAGUUCUCCCUGAGACUUUAAGUCUCCUGAAGGAACGUUGAAGACGACGACGUUGAUAGGCCGGGUGUGUAAGCGCAGCGAUGCGUUGAGCUAACCGGUACUAAUGAACCGUGAGGCUUAACCUU